UAUGGGAUAUUAUAGAUGAAAAGUGGGAUCGACAAUUACACCAACACUUACAUGCUGCUGCGUACUAUUUAAAUCCCCAAUUUCAUUAUGAUAAAGAUUUUUCAUGUUGACAAAGAGGUGAAAACUGGUUUGUAUGCAUGUAUGGAUAGACUCAUUUCUGAAGAAAACUACCUCAAAGUUAAUGAUCAACUUGAGGAUUUUCAUUUGAAGAAGGGAAUGUUUGGAUUUAGAGCAGCACAAGCAUGCUUCAAAACACGAUCUCCUGUUUGGAGAUGAUGUUCCUGAAUUGAAAGCUUUUGCAGUUAAAGUUUUUAGCCUAACGUGUUCGGCUUCUGCAUGCGAGCGUAAUUGGAGCAUCUUCAAUCAAAUUCAUACAAAGAGAAGAAAUCGAUUGGCGGCAGAUCGAAUGAACAAACUAGUUUAUGUUAUGUUUAAUAAAAAACUGAAAGAUAGACAUCUCAAAUUGCAGAAUCAAGGAAAUAUUGAGAAUGAAA
This is a long non-coding RNA of Dendrobium catenatum, 494 nucleotides long. RefSeq lists it as uncharacterized. The record is from RefSeq and is a predicted model, not a curated record. The transcript is spliced from 2 exons. Lineage: Eukaryota; Viridiplantae; Streptophyta; Magnoliopsida; Asparagales; Orchidaceae.